Pangasianodon hypophthalmus (striped catfish) is the source of this 3009-nucleotide long non-coding RNA. RefSeq lists it as uncharacterized. Lineage: Eukaryota; Metazoa; Chordata; Actinopteri; Siluriformes; Pangasiidae. The transcript is spliced from 5 exons. The record is from RefSeq and is a predicted model, not a curated record.
CUACUCCUCAUUGCUUAUGCUCGACAUUAUAUUGUGCAAUAAGCAAAGUUUAAACACACACACACACACACACACACAAAUGCUCUGACUUAUAAGAAGACCUGUGCAGUGAUGGCAGCUAACAUUUAUAUUUUUAAAGAGAAGUGAUACAAGGAUCUGAACAUUUCCCCAAAACUAAUUAUAAUUCUUUAAAUUACAGAUUACAGGGGAGGAAUGUACCGACCCGUUCCUGGGCCUGAGGGAUCUUCUUGCACUGGCUACGCUGCCCCGAGGCACGUGAAGGGUUAAUCAAGCAAAGUUACCAUAAAUCAGCUGAUUUACGAAAACUGUCAGGUAUGGGGAAAAAAUAAUAAAAAUGUGGAAAGAGUCCAUGCAUCAGAGGUAGGAACAGGAAGCAAUCACAUUGCUCUAAUUUAUAAAAUGCAUGCUGACAUUAUAACACAGAGUGCUGUAUCAGAAAUAAAAGUUUAAAUGAGCCUGAGGUCAUGCUAAUGUUACCUGUGAUGGAGGGAGGGGAGGGAAAGAAGGUGUGUGUGUGUGUGUGUGUGUGUGUGUGAGAGAAUAAUCUCCAUCAGCUCAGUCUGUAGGAUAAAAUUACUGAGUUAUUAAGAAAAGUUGGGGUGUGUUUUGUGAACGCGCUCUGUAAUGGCGCGCGCCCUCUGCACCACGUGACUGGCAGACAGGUGAUGCUGCUCAUUUGCAUGAGGAACAGGUAAGCGGGAAGUUCACGUGCUUUCCUAAAAACAAGCUAAACAAACCGAAAUCACGCUUUCGGCUGAACGUGUCGAAGCAAAUCGAGUCGGAUGUUUUAGUUAAGAAGAAAAAAAAAAAAAAAAAAAGAAGAAGAAAAAUAAAAAGAAGAAGAAGAAAAAAAAGUGGUCUUUUUUCUGUCAGGAAACUCAGUAGAGGAGAAACAGCCAGUCAGCCUGCAGUCUGCAGGGGGAAAAUCAUCUGCAAUGAAAAUGUCAGAGGAAUGACUUCAUAAGGACACAACGCCUGUUGGGACCAUGGUGGCAGUGACGCUGACUGAUGUGCAUGCAGUCCUGGCGUUUUUCACGCUCUUUGCUCUGGCCACGGUGCUGAUGGCGUGUGUGCUAUGCAGGAAACGCAAGACCGAGGGAACCUACCGGCCGAGCGCAGAGGAGGAAAAACAAACCGAGAGCCAGGAGUCGGAGAAACCAGGCCUCCCGCUGCCUCUGCCCAAAGAGGAGCGACUGAUCUGAGCCACUCCUUUAACCGCACGGUGUGACUGAACUGAGAAAUGCCAUUCUAAAUCAAAGCUCUAUUUAUAAUGCAAUAAUGGCAUCUAACAGGGUUCUGCUCCAUUCUAGAACCACACUUGAUAAGCUAGAACUCCAUGUAUUCCAUAAUAGAGUACAUUAAGCACUGAUGGACUCUCUCUCUCUCUCUCUCUCUCUCUCUCUCUCUAUUGGCCAUACAAUUCUUGGUCAUGGCUGUUUAUGAAGCCGAGGUGUGUGUGUUUAUCAUUGUGUCCAGAUUUGCCAAAAUUUACAGUUUCGCUGCAGCAUUUAUGAUUUUUGACCGACAAGAAAAUCAUAUUGCUACAGCGAUACUGAGACAGAUGAAAACUGUGCUUUUCUGCUUUUUCAGUUAAUGCAGUGAAUAAAAAUUUACUCAAAUGAAAAGCUGAUUCACUGAAGGGGAAAGGACGCAGGAUGUGAAAAAUGCAGAUUUGGUUCUGGUAGCAGUUACUUUCAAUACUUCUGAGCAAAAAGAAAUAAGGGGGCGGGGCUGUGGUCUGUUUGGGUGAUUAUUAAACGGAGGAGCCACUAAUUAUCAAGUAGCAUCAUUCUGGACUUUUACCUUGCUGUUUUUUUUUGUUUUUUUUUUAUUUUGCUUGUUGCUGUUGCUUGGCUUACAUAUGAGAAAAAAAAAAAUCCGUCUCAUCCACUGCCAUAUGCUUAGGGUAAUUUUUUAUUUUUAUUUAUUUAUUUUUUUUCCUUCUUUCUUCUUUCCCCCCCUCUCUCUGCCUAUUAGGAUGUUCUAGUUAGAAAUUUUGGCACCUCUGAGACCCUGUCCAUAUAUAUAUAUAUAUAUAUAUAUAUAUAUAUAUAUAUAUAUAUAUAUAUAUAUAUAUAUAUAUAUAUAUAAAAUAUAAAAACAGUAUUUUCCUUGCAUUUUGGUCUCUUGUCCACAUUAAAACAGCAUUUUGUGUCACUGAAAACGAUUCUUUUCGAAAAUGCUCUCCAAGGUGGAGAAAUCUUUAGAAAACUUCACUGUUUUUGUGUAGACGGGGAAAAAAGCAUGUACUAGGACUUUGUUUAUCAUGACUGCUGACCAAGUGGUUACAUUGUGGUCUCUCUUUGCAAUUUAUUUCUGCUUUAUUUAUUAUUACACCCUCGUGUCGAGGUGGCAGAACAUGAUCCGUGCUGCACUGCUCCUGAUUCCUCCACGGCAGUGCUGUAAACACUUUGAAUUCUAGUGUAAUCUUAAGCAGUAGUUCCACCUCAUUGUCAGUCCACCCAUUUGUUUGUCAUAAUUCUUGGUCAUGUUGGUGUUUUUACACAUUUGUCCUUCUCUACCACUCAAUACACAGCUCUUAACAUUAUUCUUGAGGCAUUUUACAUGUGACAGGUUGACCUACUAUUGCACCUAAUGGCCUGGUGGGGUCAUGUGUGUAUUUUCUAAUCGAUUGUGUUUUCGCUUGGUUAGAGACCUUUGCGAAAGUGCAAAGGAUGAGAAUUCCUUUGAAAUUGGACAGGAAAAACCCACUUUUUCAAAAAUAUUAAUGUGUCUGGAUGGCUGCUGAAUGUCUGUAAGAUCUGUAAGAUUUGGUUAAGACCUCAAUACAAGGACUUGAAGGGAAAAGACUUAUAGCUUAUCUGCUAUUGCUGUUUACUUUUUAGACAUGAGCAUAAUUUGUGUGUGUAAUGUAUUUAAUGUAUUCUGAAAAAAAAAAACAAAUCAGGAACACUGUAUAUAAGUCAUUUGUAAUAUACUAUGAGCAAUUACACUGAAUGUAAAAAUAAACUUUGCGUUUGUCAUUUC